UAAACUGUUCAACACCAAAAACUCCGAACUCUUCCGCUGCAAUCGGAUAUGAAACGGCCAAAGUGAUUCCGAAGCUUCGGUUGACAGGCAGUGAAAAUGGCAAAUCUGAAGCUUAAAUGCCUCCGCACACACGCUCACGAAGUUGGCAAAUAUUUUGUUGAAUUGUUGUUGAAUCUCUAAACGAAUUAAAACCCGAGUCCGUAUUCACUUGUUCCGCUCAAUCGGAAA
Drosophila rhopaloa is the source of this 228-nucleotide long non-coding RNA. RefSeq lists it as uncharacterized. The transcript has 2 exons. Lineage: Eukaryota; Metazoa; Arthropoda; Insecta; Diptera; Drosophilidae. The record is from RefSeq and is a predicted model, not a curated record.